GAAAUUUUUAUUUAGAAAUUUUAUUGAAAGUGGAUUUUGAAUGAGUAGAGUUUUGUUGGAAGAUUAUUUGUUUAUUAUAUAGAUUAUUAGUAUUGUGAGGGAAUUUAGUUUAAAAUUUUAUUAAAUAAGAGAUUAGGGGUUUUACCUUUUGCAUUAGGGUUAAUUAAAGAUUUUUGAAGGAUUUUAAUUUCUUGAAGAAUUUGUGAGCUAAGUAUUAUUAUAAUAAUAUGUAUUAUAAUAUUAUAAAAAUAAUAGUUUAGUGGUGAAAUAUUAUUCAAACUGUUUUUUAUCUAGUUUUUAAAGAAAAUAAUUAUUGAUGGUAACAUUAGUUUUAUAGUUGGGGAUUAGCUUAACUAUAUUAGUAUAUAAGAUUUAAAAUUAAUCAUUUGUUGGGUUGAUAGUAUUUAUUAAUAUAGUGUUAUAAAAGAGUGAGUUAAGGUUUAAUUUUGUUUUAUUGUUGCUUUUUGUAUUUAAGAUAAAAUAGGAAUGAAGUAUGUUUUGUUAUAAUGAUUAAAUUAGUAAUAUGUUAUUAUUUUUAUUUAUAAAAAGAUUUGUGAAUUAUAUUUAAUUUUUUAUUUAAUUUUGUUAAUUGAAUUCGGCAAAAUAUUUUUUGACUGUUUAGCAAAUACAUUGUUCUUUGUUAGAAUAAGGAGUAAAGUCUGUCCGCUGCUAUUAGUGAAGGACUGCAGUAUUUUGACUGUAUUAAGGUAGCAUGAUCAUUAGUUUUUUGAUUGGAAACUGGAAUGAAGGUGAAACGGGGAAUAGCUGUAAGGAUUAAUGGUAUGAAUUUUAUUAUUAUGUGAAAAAGCUUAAUUAAUUAAAAGGGACAAGAAGACCCUAAUAAGCUUUAUUUUUUGAUUUUUAUUAUUAUAUUUGGAUUAGGGAUUUAUUAGGGUUAAUAAAAAUUUAAUUGGGGCGAUUUCUUAUAAACUAAAGAAUAAAAUUUUAAUUUUUUUAAAGCGUUUUUUUGACCUAGUUAGGUUAAUUGUUGGAGAAGCUACUGUAGGGAUAACAGCGUAAUUUUUUUUGAGAGUUCUAAUUGACAAAAGAGUUUGCGACCUCGAU
This 1065-nucleotide ribosomal RNA is filed under the name Nearctodesmus salix. RNAcentral describes it as "partial large subunit ribosomal RNA". The record is from RNAcentral. Lineage: Eukaryota; Metazoa; Arthropoda; Diplopoda; Polydesmida; Nearctodesmidae.